This is a long non-coding RNA of Pteropus alecto (black flying fox), 670 nucleotides long. RefSeq lists it as uncharacterized. NCBI's taxonomy places the organism in Eukaryota, Metazoa, Chordata, Mammalia, Chiroptera, Pteropodidae. The transcript is spliced from 3 exons. The record is from RefSeq and is a predicted model, not a curated record.
AAACCUGAGCCUCAGUCCUCCAGGCUGAGUCCUGGUCCACGGCUACUCCACGCCGGAACUGCCAGGCUGCCACCUCAGAAUCCCGGGCGUCUAUGCGGUGAGACGCUUAGAUCCUGGAUCUGAGAUCUAAAGAGAAUGGGUGCAUCUUUGAUCAUCCAACUCAAAACCCAGCUAAAAUGUCUUCAGAGAGCCUUCUUAUGGAUUUCCCAGCUCAGGGCAAUCCCCUCCCUUCAUUCCACCCUCUGAAUGAAGCAAACUCCUGUCACCUCUCAAAUGAAAUAUGUCUCCUUCAGGGAAGGAGGCAGCCUUUUAGGGGUCCAUGUUUUGAGAGAUUUGUAGUCAUUUGCACCAUAGUAUGAAUUAGUGACUGAGGUCCUCCUGAGAAGCAGCAUCUACUGACUGAGAUGAAGGCGACCAAGACAGCCAUGGAUGAAAUCCUGAAAAGACCCAUCAGGAAAAGAUGAUAGUCAGAAGAGGGAAGGAGCACCCAAAUAAACUUUACCUCUACUCUUUUUUUAUUAACUGUUCUUUGAGCUGGCUGUAUUUGAAUGUCAUGCCAUGGUCUAAGUCUACCUCACUAGCUCUUUUCAUCACCUGGUACAUAGUAGGCACGUAAUAGAUACAUGCAGUAUGCUUCCUGAAUGAAUCAAUAAAGGUAAGAAGGAACAAA